UACGGGAGGCAGCAGUGGGGAAUAUUGCACAAUGGGCGCAAGCCUGAUGCAGCCAUGCCGCGUGUAUGAAGAAGGCCUUCGGGUUGUAAAGUACUUUCAGUCGUGAGGAAGGUGUUAAGGUUAAUAACCUUAGCAAUUGACGUUAGCGACAGAAGAAGCACCGGCUAACUCCGUGCCAGCAGCCGCGGUAAUACGGAGGGUGCGAGCGUUAAUCGGAAUUACUGGGCGUAAAGGGCACGCAGGCGGUUAAUUAAGUUGGAUGUGAAAUCCCCGGGCUUAACCUGGGAAUGGCAUUCAAGACUGGUUAGCUAGAGUCUUGUAGAGGGGGUAGAAUUCCAUGUGUAGCGGUGAAAUGCGUAGAGAUGUGGAGGAAUACCGGUGGCGAAGGCGGCCCCUGGGACAAAGGACUGACGCUCAUGUGCGAAAGCGGUGGGGAGCAAACGAGGAUUAGACUACC
This 457-nucleotide ribosomal RNA is filed under the name uncultured bacterium. Its description in RNAcentral is "bacterial SSU rRNA". It matches the Rfam family "Bacterial small subunit ribosomal RNA", at positions 340 to 787 of the family's 1533-position model. The record is from RNAcentral.